GGUACAAGAAAAAUAUUAUACGACUUACUGUGUACAAAAUAACAAAUGCCACAAAAAUACUUUAACACUAUAAAUAAGAAAAGUAAAACAACAAGAAAUCCGAAUAACUACAAUUAUAUUAUGUACCUCACCAUAUUAUCUAUAUUAUAUUAUGCUUAAAAAAUAAUAACUUUCAAUGCUUAUACAAUGAUGAUGUACAUCUAAAGGCAGGUACAUUAAAGUAUUUCAUAGGUGUUGUAUAAAAAAAAAUUAUUAUCUAUACACGUCUACCAAUGUUAAUGUAUUGAAAAAAAUAUCGUAGACAAGCUUUAUUAUUGACGGCACAAAAUGUACUUAUUUAUUGUUUUCUUACAAAGGAUAUAACAAAUUUUCGUUCUGUACAACCAAAUUUGCGCUGUUAGUUUUUAUAGUUUUUAGAGUGAAUCGACUUACUUUUUUCGACAUUUUAAUUUUCAAGCGAAAUAUGAGUAGACGUGAAAUAUCAGCAAUUUAAAAAUUAAAAUACUCAAAUACCUUUACAUAGAGGUAAAUACACCCAUUUCUAUCUUUCUAAUGGGCAAAAUAGAAAAAAUGUGUUUACAUAAAACAGACGAAAAAGCCUUUACAAUCGGUUUUAGAGACAAAAACAUCAAUUCCAAAAUGUGUGGAUGACAACAUUUUGAGAACAACCUCGUCAGCGUUUUGCAAUAUUUUUAAAACAUUCAAACUUAUUAUUGAAGGUACAAAAAAUUGUAUUUUAUAUAGUUUUUACAAAAAAUGUUUUAGGAGCGGCCUUUUUAGUUGGAUAAUAGGUAAAUUUUCAUUUCAAUAGUAAAACAUACAGUACAAAAUUGGAUCUGUCGAACGUUAAUUUGGUUUGUCGUUUGUGUCGUGCGUCUGUUUAAGACAGAGGCAACAAAUGAUGGCGUGAUUACAACUCUUAAUAUUAUAGUAUAAAUCGUUCGAUAAAAUAUUAUUCCAGGGCAAUAAUAUUUAAUUAUUAAAUAUUACCGAUAUUAUUGCAAUACUAUUGUAUAAUAAUUUACACCGACUGCGAUAUAAUAUUGUGUAUAAAUUUAACACAAUAUUUUAUACAAGUAUAUGAUUAUGUUAUAAUUAUUACAUGUAUAAUAUUAAAUAAGUUCCUAAGAAUUUAUUUUCUAAAACAAUGAAUUUUACGAUAAUAUUGAUAGAACAUUGCAGAAAAAAUAUAUAAAAA
Non-coding RNA from Cinara cedri, 1198 nucleotides. Lineage: Eukaryota; Metazoa; Arthropoda; Insecta; Hemiptera; Aphididae. The record is from the annotation of a GenBank genome assembly.